Non-coding RNA from Oryza meridionalis, 185 nucleotides. Lineage: Eukaryota; Viridiplantae; Streptophyta; Magnoliopsida; Poales; Poaceae. The record is from Rfam.
UUUAAGUGCAACCAACUUUGAUCGUCCGUCUUAUUUGAAUUUUUUUACAAUUAGUAUUUUUAUUAUUAUGAGAUGAUAAAAUAUAAAUAGUACUUUAUGUAUCACUUAUGUUUUUAAUUUUUUUUCAAAAGAAUUUUAAAUAAGACGGAUGAUUGAAGUUGUGCAUGGAAGAUCAUGCCUUUAUC